CCCUUAGAUGUCCUGGGCCGCACGCGCGCUACACUGACAUGUUCAACAAGUUUCUCCUAGUUCGACAGGACUGGGAAAUCUUUGAACGCAUGUCGUGAUAGGGAUAGAUCAUUGCAAUUAUUGAUCUUGAACGAGGAAUUCCUAGUAAACGCGAGUCAUCAGCUCGCAUUGAUUACGUCCCUGCCCUUUGUACACACCGCCCGUCGCUGCCCGGAACUGAGCCGUUUCGAGAAGACUGAGGAUUGCUGACUUGAGGCCUUCACGGGCUUCUAGUCGGUGAAAAUCAAUUUAAUCGCAGCGGCUUGAACCGGGCAAAAGUCGUAACA
RNAcentral lists this ribosomal RNA (326 nucleotides) under uncultured eukaryote. Its description in RNAcentral is "partial 18S ribosomal RNA". It matches the Rfam family "Eukaryotic small subunit ribosomal RNA", at positions 1470 to 1796 of the family's 1831-position model. The record is from RNAcentral.